This 774-nucleotide ribosomal RNA is filed under the name uncultured Neocallimastigales. RNAcentral's name for it is "partial large subunit ribosomal RNA". It matches the Rfam family "Eukaryotic large subunit ribosomal RNA", at positions 22 to 629 of the family's 3401-position model. The record is from RNAcentral. Lineage: Eukaryota; Fungi; Neocallimastigomycota; Neocallimastigomycetes; Neocallimastigales.
GUACACGCUGUGACUAGCAUAUCAAUAAGCGGAGGAAAAGAAACUAACAAGGAUUCCCCUAGUAACGGCGAGUGAAGCGAGAAGAGCUCAAAUUUGAAAUCUUAAAGGGUUUCCCUUUACGAAUUGUAGUUUAAAGAAGUGUUUUCUGUUGAGGUUUUGGUAAAAGUUCUUUGGAAUAGGACAUCAUAGAGGGUGAGAAUCCCGUAUUUGACCUUUACUUUCAACUUUGUGAUACACUUUCAAAGAGUCGGAUUGUUUGGGAAUGCAGUCCAAAAUGGGUGGUAAAUUUCAUCUAAAGCUAAAUAUUGGCGAGAGACCGAUAGCGAACAAGUACCGUGAGGGAAAGAUGAAAAGAACUUUGAAAAGAGAGUUAAACAGUACGUGAAAUUGUCAAAAGGGAAGCGUUUGACACCAGUGUUGUUUUUCCGAAAAUCAAUUAAAGAACUGUUUAUGCUAAGUUGUUUAGACUUUAUCAGCUAACUGUUUAGUUUUGAGCUUUUCUUUAAUGCACUUUUCAGUUAACAAGUCAACAUCAAUUUCUUUUGCUGUAAAAAAGCUUGAGGAAGGUGGCUUGAGAUUCGUCUUAAGUGUUUAUAGCCUCUUGCCUAUGCAGUCGGAGAGAUUGAGGUCUGCAGCGUAGAUCCUUCGGGGCUAAAUGCAUUUGUGCUAAGUUAUAGCAUUUUAUAGACAACUUGUUGACUAUGAUUUGUCUUGUAGCUUACUCGCUUAUGUUAUUUUACCUACGCUUAGGAUGUUGAUAUGCAUGACUGAUAU